Molecule: long non-coding RNA, 1703 nt
Organism: Podarcis raffonei (Aeolian wall lizard)
Lineage: Eukaryota; Metazoa; Chordata; Lepidosauria; Squamata; Lacertidae
Exons: 3
Source: RefSeq, a predicted model, not a curated record
GCAAAUGAUUGUGUGCAGCACUUCUGUACUUUUUUGGGGGGUGCUUUUCCACUCUGCCAGGAAACAAAGAAACUAUUGAGUGUUCAUGCACCAAGCAGGGGUCCUGGAAGAUAUGAAUCAGGGUCUUGUGGCUAACACCCACAAGCCCCAGGCUGACAUGAGAAAGUCCACCCUCUCCUGCAAGAGGAGGAAAGGCAUCUCUGAUAACCUGCAUUUAAUAUAGUUCCUGGUGAGAGUUAAAUUAUUUUCAACUUCUCACGGUCUACUGGUUUUCUAUCUGGAACCUGAAUUUUGUUCUCCAGUCUUUUUGCUCAUGCUACUUUUGAAUCUUUAGAUCAAAUUCCCAUGAAGUCCAUUCAAAUUCUCUGCUUGUAGCCCUAAUCUCAGCCAGGCAUGUCUCAGAGCUGAAUGUGCUUUCCAUGUCUAAGAAUCUCAGUGAGUUUCAUAAGGGCAAGGUUAGACUUCAUUCCCAGGCUCAUCAUUAACCUCGAAGGUGAAUCCAGUCUUUCAUGGAUUGCAAGACUCUCCUUUUCUUUUUCCCCAGAGCCUACACACCUCCAGGAACAGACUGGGUGCACACGCAAAAUCUCGAGGGCCCUUGAGUAUGAUAUUCACAGUACCAAUCCAUUUCAGCAUGUAAACUAUAUUUUUGUCUCUUUCUGCUAAUGUUCUCUAGAGAAGGAAGCUCCUAACUCUUAGCCCUGGUGAAGUGGCUCACUGCAGCCAUCACUAAUAUUGUGAGUUGUUGGGAGUGCCUGGGAAAAGGGCUGUGUCUCAGUGGUAGCAAGGCCCAUGCUUUGAAUGCAAAAAACCCCUAGGUUCAAAACUUAUAGAAUUGUAGAGGUGGAAAGGACCACAAGGGUCAUCUAGUUCAACCCGCUGCAACGCAUGUCUUUUCCUUGGCUUUUCCCUAUAGGGCUGGGAGAGACCCCUGCCUGAAACCCUGGACAGCCACUGUCAAUCAGCGUAGAUAAGCUUGGUUGACCAACGGCCUGACUACGAGUGUGUUCACAAAGCUUCCCCACCUCCACUCAGUCAAUACCUGGCUCUCUCUCUGACAUUUGAGGGAAGAAUUAUGAGAAGUUCUUCAGGGGAUGUAUCUGGACAGCUGGACUCCGAGUAGGAAUUCAAGAAAGGAUGCUCCCACCAAUCCUGCAGGACAAACAGUUCACUCUCCAUGCAAGACAAUAAUGGACACAAAUCUGACAUCAGAAACCACUGGGAGAACCGUUCACACUCCCAGGACACUCUGCUCCUGAGCUGAAAAUGGUCAUUCUCAAACAAAGGAACUUCAAAAGGAGAUUCCAGUGAGAAACAGCUUCACUACAACUUACCAAAAAAAAAUUCAAUUCUGCCACCUCUGGCUUGAAUCAAGAUAAGGGAUUCCUAUCCCACUGCAGAUGUUAAUUAACUUAGGACCGCUGGAGUGUCUUGUCAUCAACUGCAGUUGUUAUGCUUGGUUACUGUGCUAACUUUGCAUACUUAAGCUGAAAAUUAAUUGUCAGAUUGUCUUUUUUGUGUUUCAUUUUCAUCUAACCUCACUGUUUACAUUUCCUCUCUCUCUACACACACACACACACACACACACACACACACACACACACACACACCUGUCAACUGAGGAUAACAUUUUAGCCAUAUGAUGAAGUGUAUUCUGGUUCAUGAUAGCUUAGGCCGUAUUAAAUUUGUUAAGUUUGAAGGUA